This 230-nucleotide ribosomal RNA is filed under the name uncultured bacterium. RNAcentral's name for it is "partial 16S ribosomal RNA". It matches the Rfam family "Bacterial small subunit ribosomal RNA", at positions 524 to 751 of the family's 1533-position model. The record is from RNAcentral.
AACGUAGGAGGCAAGCGUUAUCCGGAUUUACUGGGCGUAAAGCGCGUGCAGGCGGUUCCAUAAGUGGGAUGUGAAAGCUCCUGGCUCAACUGGGAGAGGUCGUUCCAGACUGUGGGACUGGAGGAUGGUAGAGGGAGGUGGAAUUCCGGGGUGUAGUGGUGAAAUGCGUAGAUAUCCGGAGGAACACCAGUGGCGAAAGCGGCCUCCUGGACCAUUUCUGGACGCUCAGA